GCCGCGCGCUAUGGUGUACCGCGGGCUCUGGAGGGGCAGCGGGACCCCCGAGCCGGGGAGAGGGCACGUGAUAGUCGCCCUGGAGCGUCCGCGCCUGGCGUGCGACAGUCCCCGCCGGGGAAAGCGAGGGAUGGCGGGGCCAAGACGUUUUCCCCGAGUUUUUAAAAGGGCAGGGAGGGUGACCGUUGGCCUUGGGCCGGGCGCGGAGGACGCGAGCGGUGGAGUGAGCCAGCUAAACGCCUGGAGAUGAAAAGAAGUCUUUUGCCCUACCUUUCUGGAAGACCUGGAGAAGACCUGAAGACCCUUUUCAACAUAGGUUAUGACACCAGCAAACUGAUCAAAGAAUUGCAACCUGAGUAAUCGCCACAGAGCAAGGUCUACAGAAGGGAGGAGGUGGGGGCUGUGCCUGCAGAGGAGUGUAUGUCAAAUUGUGCACCUGACCAAAACUUAUAGUGCAGAGAUGUCUUA
Molecule: long non-coding RNA, 468 nt
Organism: Lutra lutra (Eurasian river otter)
Lineage: Eukaryota; Metazoa; Chordata; Mammalia; Carnivora; Mustelidae
Exons: 2
Source: RefSeq, a predicted model, not a curated record